RNAcentral lists this long non-coding RNA (1118 nucleotides) under Homo sapiens (human). RNAcentral describes it as "long intergenic non-protein coding RNA 2401". Lineage: Eukaryota; Metazoa; Chordata; Mammalia; Primates; Hominidae. The record is from RNAcentral.
AUUCUGGAGACAAUGAAAUAAGAUUUGCACACUGUGACAACACAGGUCUCUAACAGCGAAUCCAAGACUGGGAUUUUUUUAAAGCUCUCUUCCCUUCCCCACCUUGAGUGUACAAUGGAGAGUGCUAGUGUGGUGUCACAUGGUGCAACAUGGCUCAGUGUUGUGUGAAACUAAGAUUUGGGGCAUAUUUUAUAAUGAACAUAACAUAUGAGCAUAACAGUCGUGAUUAACGUAUACAAUUAAAGAUAUGUGGAAAUGACUCCAUCUCCGACCACACAUCCUCUGAGUAAUUUUGAUGGGGAUGGCUUAUGUUCUACUGCCACCUCGUGGUGGGCAUUCUGUGAACAUGCAUCUUGGAACAGUGGGGAGAACCAGUUUGGACUUCUGAGGAUCCAAAAGCCCAAGAAAAAAAUCUGAGUUCUCACGACAAAGUCACUUCCUGCUACAACACCUGGAAAAUGUCAUGACCCGAGCUAGUCUCACUUCAGAGUCCCUGGUUUCUAGUACGGUGCCUGACAGAUAGAUGACUUUCUUUAUAUGUUGCUGAAGACAGGCAGAGAGGAAGAAAGGAAGAGAGGAUAAAGGGAGGAAUAAACUUGAUAUAAGCAUCUUUGCAUAAUUAACAACUGGGUCAAAUUUUCUUCAUUUCAUUGAGAUUCUUGAUACAAGCCUCUGCUGAUGAAUUGGAUUCCAAAAAGCAGAUAUUGUUGUCCAGGCCACACCAUACGGGACUUACCACUCCCAGUUGCUAACAUCUGCACGUAUUUGCCUGGAGGUCUCCUCUGGUCACCAGAUCCUACUCUGCCUGGGCCACAUGACAAGGUGAUGUGCUGAGGAACAAAAGCCCCCAGGAGUAUCCCUCAAGCAGUGUUGGACUGGAGUUGAGAAUGGAUCCAGCCUGUCCAGGCCUUUGUGCUUGCUCUUCCCUCUUCCUGAAUAUUCUGACCUGGCUCUGUGUGUGUCUACUUCCUCCUCAUCUCUCAGAUCUCCUUUGCAAAAGGGCUUCCCCAAUGAUUUAAUUUAAUAUCAUCUUUUCAUGUACCCCAAAUGUCAUUCUCUAGCACUGUAUUCUGUUUAUUUCCUUCAUAGAAUCUACAGUAAAUUCUAAUCGUUUCAGG